AUUGUGUCGUUCAGAAUUUCAGUCGUAGGGAAGCAUUCACAUGCUAAGGAGCUAGUUCCAGGGCCUGGGCUAAAGGCGGAGGGUGGAAGCCAAGCCGCCACUUCCACCCGUCAAAGCAAUCAGUCGUGUGACUCUGUGCAGACGUGGGUGCCUGUCGUCCGGGAGAAGUUCGAAAGGUUCUGAAAACGGCCAGCCUUUUGAGGAGUUUAGCGUAGGAUGCUGGUCAAUGGCGAGAUGUUUGCUCCUCCGUGGAGCAGCUAAGCGCCAGAUCCCCAGGUAGCUGCUUCUUACGGCCGUGAAUUGCAGAUCGAAGUGGAAGGCACGGCGGACUCAGACUUGAAGAUCCUCGCUUCGCACAUUUAUGACGGAUAGGACACUUAAAAGUGAUGAGUGGUGCCGCAUCUGGAGGCUUGUGCUGGGGGCGCCUGUCAUUACAAGGCAGUUCGAGCGGAUCGCUCUUUCCUUGAGAGGUCUCUCUUAUUGGAAUCGAUUUCGCACCUGACCGUCUGAGAGAAGGGGGAUCAGAGUGUGGAUCGAUUGCAGGGUCCCUCAUCCCCGACAUUGUGGAGAAGUUAAAUCUCGAGCAGAAGCACAGAUGAUUCGCUCGAUUUGCUGAUCGAUCUUAUGAUAUUUUGCCCAGUACUACGUUGCGACUAAGCCAGUGGGAUUUUCUGUACUCUGCACUCUGCACUCUGCACAACUGCAAUCGAUGAGAUCCAAGCAGAGCUCUACAACCAUUCUCAAGGGCCCUUGUGGUGUUUUGUGGUGACAAUGGGCUUUUGAUAUGUGCUAUCCUUCCAUGGUCAACGCUGAGAUCUGCAGUUCAGCUUUCGCGUCUGCCCGGGGUUCCACGCAAGAUUGCUUGAAGACUUGGGAACACUCAUCGCGAGAGAGCUUCUAUACCCGGGGAUACCCCUCGCCUACGACUGCUGGCUCUUGUUGCUCCCGAUACUGUGUCGAAGGGAUAUAAAAAUUAAAUGUCACUUUGGUUUUUACGCUCAGA
Long non-coding RNA from Drosophila miranda, 1003 nucleotides. RefSeq lists it as uncharacterized. The transcript is spliced from 3 exons. NCBI's taxonomy places the organism in Eukaryota, Metazoa, Arthropoda, Insecta, Diptera, Drosophilidae. The record is from RefSeq and is a predicted model, not a curated record.